AUGAGUACCUUUACGCUUUGCCGAAAUGUAAGGGGCCAUUUUAGGAUUCCAUUUCUUAAUACCAUGACCAAAAUGAACUCCUGCUUCUAUCAUCUCUUUCAAAUUAAUGUUCCAAUAUCUUCUUGUCAUUAUGUUAAUAAAAAGUGGUUCAGUGGUAUGUUAACGAAUUGGUCGAUUACGAAAACUAGACUUUCUCAAUUUAGAGACUUAAGAGCAGAAGAAAAAAUGGGAAAAUUCCACCAUCUCCCAAAAAGAGAUGUGGCAAUCUUGAAGAGAAAAUUAUCUACCUUGCAAAGGUAUCUCGGCGGGAUCAAAUAUAUGACGAGAUUGCCAGACAUUGUGAUCGUCCUUGAUCAGCAAAAAGAGUAUAUAGCUCUUCGGGAAUGUGCCAUUUUGGGGAUUCCUACUAUUUCUUUAGUCGAUACAAAUUGUGACCCGGAUCUCGCGAAUAUAUCGAUUCCAGCCAACGAUGACACUAUGACUUCAAUUCGAUUGAUUCUUAACUAA
RNAcentral lists this ribosomal RNA (507 nucleotides) under Triticum aestivum (bread wheat). Its description in RNAcentral is "partial small subunit ribosomal RNA". Lineage: Eukaryota; Viridiplantae; Streptophyta; Magnoliopsida; Poales; Poaceae. The record is from RNAcentral.